RNAcentral lists this ribosomal RNA (358 nucleotides) under uncultured fungus. RNAcentral describes it as "LSU rRNA". It matches the Rfam family "Eukaryotic large subunit ribosomal RNA", at positions 66 to 424 of the family's 3401-position model. The record is from RNAcentral. Lineage: Eukaryota; Fungi.
CAACAGGGAUUACCUCAGUAACGGCGAGUGAAGCGGUAACAGCUCAAAUUUGAAAUCUGGCCUCACGGUCCGAGUUGUAAUUUGUAGAGGAUGCUUCGAGCAUGGUCUGGCCUAAGUUCCUUGGAACAGGACGUCAUAGAGGGUGAGAAUCCCGUAUGCGGUCAGGUGCCUACGCUCAUGUGAAGCUCCUUCGACGAGUCGAGUUGUUUGGGAAUGCAGCUCAAAAUGGGUGGUAAAUUUCAUCUAAAGCUAAAUAUUGGCCAGAGACCGAUAGCACACAAGUAGAGUGAUCGAAAGAUGAAAAGCACUUUGGAAAGAGAGUUAAACAGUACGUGAAAUUGUUGAAAGGGAAGCGCUU